CUCUUGGACAGCCUUCUGAAAGGAAGAUUAAUACAAGAUGGCAUCAUGAGUCCGCAUGUUCACAUGAUUAAAGGUAUUCCGGUAGACGAUGGGGAUGCGUUCCAUUAGAUAGUAGGCGGGGUAACGGCCCACCUAGUCUUCGAUGGAUAGGGGUUCUGAGAGGAAGGUCCCCCACAUUGGAACUGAGACACGGUCCAAACUCCUACGGGAGGCAGCAGUGAGGAAUAUUGGUCAAUGGGCGAGAGCCUGAACCAGCCAAGUAGCGUGAAGGAUGACUGCCCUAUGGGUUGUAAACUUCUUUUAUAAAGGAAUAAAGUCGGGUAUGGAUACCCGUUUGCAUGUACUUUAUGAAUAAGGAUCGGCUAACUCCGUGCCAGCAGCCGCGGUAAUACGGAGGAUCCGAGCGUUAUCCGGAUUUAUUGGGUUUAAAGGGAGCGUAGAUGGAUGUUUAAGUCAGUUGUGAAAGUUUGCGGCUCAACCGUAAAAUUGCAGUUGAUACUGGAUAUCUUGAGUGCAGUUGAGGCAGGCGGAAUUCGUGGUGUAGCGGUGAAAUGCUUAGAUAUCACGAAGAACUCCGAUUGCGAAGGCAGCCUGCUAAGCUGCAACUGACAUUGAGGCUCGAAAGUGUGGGUAUCAAACAGGAUUAGAUACCCUGGUAGUCCACACGGUAAACGAUGAAUACUCGCUGUUUGCGAUAUACGGCAAGCGGCCAAG
This 714-nucleotide ribosomal RNA is filed under the name uncultured bacterium. Its description in RNAcentral is "bacterial SSU rRNA". It matches the Rfam family "Bacterial small subunit ribosomal RNA", at positions 136 to 851 of the family's 1533-position model. The record is from RNAcentral.